UAUAGGUUUGGUCCCAGCCUUCCUGUUAACUUUCAAUAGACUUAUACAUGCAAGCAUCCACGCCCCGGUGAGUAACGCCCUUCGAAUCACACAGGACUAAAAGGAGCAGGUAUCAAGCACACACUCUUGUAGCUCACAACGCCUUGCUUAACCACACCCCCACGGGAGACAGCAGUAACAAAAAUUAAGCCAUAAACGAAAGUUUGACUAAGCCAUAUUGACUAGGGUUGGUAAAUCUCGUGCCAGCCACCGCGGUCAUACGAUUGACCCAAGCUAACAGGAGUACGGCGUAAAGCGUGUUAAAGCAUCAUACUAAAUAGAGUUAAAUUUUAAUUAAACUGUAAAAAGCCAUAAUUAUAACAAAAAUAAAUGACGAAAGUAACCCUACAAUAGCUGAUACACCAUAGCUAAGACCCAAACUGGGAUUAGAUACCCCACUAUGCUUAGCCCUAAACACAAAUAAUUAU
This 467-nucleotide ribosomal RNA is filed under the name Ovis aries (sheep). RNAcentral describes it as "partial 12S ribosomal RNA". Lineage: Eukaryota; Metazoa; Chordata; Mammalia; Artiodactyla; Bovidae. The record is from RNAcentral.